Molecule: transfer RNA, 72 nt
Filed under: Mycolicibacterium wolinskyi
Lineage: Bacteria; Bacillati; Actinomycetota; Actinomycetes; Mycobacteriales; Mycobacteriaceae
Description: Mycobacterium wolinskyi tRNA
Rfam family: tRNA
About the family: Transfer RNA (tRNA) molecules are approximately 80 nucleotides in length.
Source: Rfam by way of RNAcentral
GCGGUCGUGGUGUAACGGCAACACAGUGGUCUGUGACGCCACAGUCGAUGGGUUCGAGUCCCUCCGGCCGCC